This 255-nucleotide ribosomal RNA is filed under the name uncultured bacterium. RNAcentral's name for it is "partial 16S ribosomal RNA". It matches the Rfam family "Bacterial small subunit ribosomal RNA", at positions 524 to 777 of the family's 1533-position model. The record is from RNAcentral.
UACGGGGGGGGGCAAGCGUUGUUCGGAAUUACUGGGCGUAAAGGGCUCGUAGGUGGCCAACUAAGUCAGACGUGAAAUCCCUCGGCUUAACCGGGGAACUGCGUCUGAUACUGGAUGGCUUGAGUUUGGGAGAGGGACGCGGAAUUCCAGGUGUAGCGGUGAAAUGCGUAGAUAUCGCCUGGAACGCCGAAGGUGAAAACAGUCUGCUGGGGGCGCACCGACGCUGAGACACGAAAGCCAGGGGAGCGAACGGGG